UAGCAAUCAGCGGAGGAAGCUUCUCAAUGAGCGGAGGAAGUUUAACAAACAAAUAAAUCAAAACUUUCAACAACGGAUCUCUUGGUUCUGGCAUCGAUGAAGAACGCAGCAAAAUGCGAUAAGUAAUGUGAAUUGCAGAAUUCAGUGAAUCAUCGAAUCUUUGAACGCACAUUGCGCCCGCUGGUAUUCCGGCGGGCAUGCCUGUUCGAGCGUCAUUUCAACCCUCAAGCCCCCGGGUUUGGUGUUGGGGAUCGGCUCUGCCUCACGGCGGUGCCGCCCCCGAAAUACAUUGGCGGUCUCGCUGCAGCCUCCAUUGCGUAGUAGCUAACACCUCGCAACUGGAACGCGGCGCGGCCAUGCCGUAAAACCCCAACUUCUGAAUGUUGACCUCGGAUCAGGUAGGAAUA
RNAcentral lists this ribosomal RNA (407 nucleotides) under Fusarium lateritium. Its description in RNAcentral is "eukaryotic LSU rRNA". The stretch from base 62 to 215 matches the Rfam family "5.8S ribosomal RNA". Lineage: Eukaryota; Fungi; Ascomycota; Sordariomycetes; Hypocreales; Nectriaceae. The record is from RNAcentral.